AACAGGUCUUCGGAUGCUGACGAGUGGCGAACGGGUGAGUAAUACAUCGGAACGUGCCCGAGAGUGGGGGAUAACGAAGCGAAAGCUUUGCUAAUACCGCAUACGAUCUCAGGAUGAAAGCAGGGGACCGCAAGGCCUUGCGCUCACGGAGCGGCCGAUGGCAGAUUAGGUAGUUGGUGGGAUAAAAGCUUACCAAGCCGACGAUCUGUAGCUGGUCUGAGAGGACGACCAGCCACACUGGGACUGAGACACGGCCCAGACUCCUACGGGAGGCAGCAGUGGGGAAUUUUGGACAAUGGGCGCAAGCCUGAUCCAGCCAUGCCGCGUGCAGGAUGAAGGCCUUCGGGUUGUAAACUGCUUUUGUAUGGAACGAAAAGACUCCUUCUAAUAAAGGGGGUCCAUGACGGUACCGUAAGAAUAAGCACCGGCUAACUACGUGCCAGCAGCCGCGGUAAUACGUAGGGUGCGAGCGUUAAUCGGAAUUACUGGGCGUAAAGCGUGCGCAGGCGGUGAUGUAAGACAGAUGUGAAAUCCCCGGGCUCAACCUGGGAACUGCAUUUGUGACUGCAUCGCUGGAGUGCGGCAGAGGGGGAUGGAAUUCCGCGUGUAGCAGUGAAAUGCGUAGAUAUGCGGAGGAACACCGAUGGCGAAGGCAAUCCCCUGGGCCUGCACUGACGCUCAUGGCCGAAAGCGUGGGGAGCAAA
RNAcentral lists this ribosomal RNA (704 nucleotides) under uncultured beta proteobacterium. Its description in RNAcentral is "bacterial SSU rRNA". It matches the Rfam family "Bacterial small subunit ribosomal RNA", at positions 70 to 772 of the family's 1533-position model. Lineage: Bacteria; Pseudomonadati; Pseudomonadota; Betaproteobacteria. The record is from RNAcentral.